This 90-nucleotide transfer RNA is filed under the name Thermotomaculum hydrothermale. RNAcentral's name for it is "tRNA-Leu". It matches the Rfam family "tRNA". Rfam says of the family: Transfer RNA (tRNA) molecules are approximately 80 nucleotides in length. Their secondary structure includes four short double-helical elements and three loops (D, anti-codon, and T loops). Further hydrogen bonds mediate the characteristic L-shaped molecular structure. tRNAs have two regions of fundamental functional importance: the anti-codon, which is responsible for specific mRNA codon recognition, and the 3' end, to which the tRNAs corresponding amino acid is attached (by aminoacyl-tRNA synthetases). tRNAs cope with the degeneracy of the genetic code in two manners: having more than one tRNA (with a specific anti-codon) for a particular amino acid; and 'wobble' base-pairing, i.e. permitting non-standard base-pairing at the 3rd anti-codon position. The record is from RNAcentral. Lineage: Bacteria; Pseudomonadati; Acidobacteriota; Holophagae; Thermotomaculales; Thermotomaculaceae.
GCCCGGGUGGUGGAAUUGGCAGACACACAGGACUUAAAAUCCUGCGGACCUUGUGGCUCCGUGCCGGUUCGAGUCCGGCCCCGGGCACCA